Molecule: long non-coding RNA, 3616 nt
Filed under: Sus scrofa (pig)
Lineage: Eukaryota; Metazoa; Chordata; Mammalia; Artiodactyla; Suidae
Description: lncRNA (ENSSSCG00045026307.1)
Source: RNAcentral
GGGGCCCUCGGUGCUGGCUGCACCCCCUUCUCGCCCAGCAGCUGCAGGCAGCUGUGCUCUUCCCUGGCAGGACCCCUGGGCUCAGGCCUGAUUUGCCCAAGUCUUUAUGGCCUUUGGUCACCGCUGCCACGGCUCGCCACCUCGCUGGCCCCGUUUCCUGCCACCUUGCAGCCUGAGCGCAACUUCCUGCCGGCGUGGCGACCUGCGCCGCCAGAGUUCCCAUUCGGGCUCAGGGGGUUAAGGACCCGACAUUGUCUCCGUGAGGACGCAGGUUUGAUCCCUGGUCUCGCUCGGUGGGUUAAGGAUCUGGUGUUGUAGAUAGGUCUCAGAUGGAGCUCGAACCCAGUGCUGCUGUGGCUGUGGCAUAGGUCUCAGCUGCAGCUCCGAUUCUGCCCCUAGCCUGGGACCCUCCAUAUGCUGCAGGUGUGACCCUAAAAAGAGAGAAAAAAAAGUGAAGGCAAAAACCACCGUCAGCACAUGAGGCCAGUUGCUUCUGACGAGGGAACAGGAUGGGCUUGAACGAAGGAAGAGCCUUUAAGACCCGGGCCGUCAGUGCGGCGGCUGUGAAGGGGCUCCUUCCACGUGCUUGACAGACACCGCUGCUGGGUCGAGGCCGUCUUGCGGGUUGAACACCGGGCACGGCCUGGAUGGCUCCUCUCCGCGAUCUUGGCGGCCACUGCUUAGGACUGACCUGCCACCUCCGCUGCCGUCCCCCCGGCCCCGGGGGAGAGGCGAGGAGAGUCAGCGACGUGCCCAAAGCGGCGAGGCUUCUGAAGAGGCCCGGGAAGGCCGGAACCAGGGCCUCCUGACUGCGGAAGGAGGGCUCCUCCUGCUGCCGUGACGCCUCCCCCCCCCCGGGGGUGUCCUUUCCAGGUGACCGAUGCCUGCAGGACCCAGAGGGCAUAGAGGUGAAAGUGCGCCCUGGGGUCAGGUGGGGCUCACUUGCCCACUCUUCCACUCUCGAGCCUUGUGCCCUUGGGCGGGUCGCCCUCUGUGAGCCUCCGUUUUCUCAUCUGUAAAGUGGGGAUCAAGGUUCCUGAUUCUCAUGGGCAUGGGCAUGGGCAGGAGUCACGUGGCCUGGAUCUGCCCCCGGGUGAAUACUUGGAUUAACAACAGGGCCGGGCCCUGCCGCCCGUCCCCUGGGCUUGCGGCUCCUGGCACAGGCGGUGACAGCGUCAGUCCGGGAUCCUGCCCAGGUCGGGGUGGGCCUGGGAGGCCAGCUUCAGCUCCCUCUCUAGUCUUUCCUUUCCCUUGGAAGAGGCGUGUCUCUAACCCCACGGGACCCCUGAUGGCGUUCUCAUCAUUUGAGGAAACCCCUGUGCAGACACCCGGCUCACUCCUUGCUGUCCCCAGGCACAGCCACCAGGUUGCAUAAGCAAUCUGCUUAAGGUCACUCAGAUCGAGGCCGAGUGUUGACACAAUAGCUUUGAUCUCCUGGGGAAGGAAAAAGAGAAGGAGUUCAACUGGGGACAUGCCAGGGAGGCAGCUUUUCAUGGCACUUGGUGAUUUUCCAUGCUUUAAUUGAGAGCUUUCGGAGCCGUAGGGUGUUGGAGAAGAUGUGAGGCAGCAAAGCUCAGGGAUGCCCAGGGCUUUCUGGAGCGGGGUCUCUGCUUCGUAGCCAGUUGUCCAGAUGGGAGCCCGUCCCGCUCCCCAGGCGAGCUUGGAGCACCACGCACAUGAUGCCAAGCCCUGCUGGGUGCUGCGCGCAGAGGUAGGAGGCAGAUGCCCUGCCCUCUGGAGUCCACAGCCUGCGGGCAGGUGGAAGGCGAGUCUCUGGAAAACCUCUAAUACGUAGGGUUGGAUGUUCCCGAGGCAGGUCCUUCUGCGUGGUCGUUCUGCAGCCCCACCCAGUGGCCCAGGUCUUGUGUUGGGCGGCAGGGUGAAUGACCAGGAACCCGGCGUGGCUGUCAGUGUCCUGUCCAGAUGCUGUGUGUGCUGGGCAUCUCCGGUCCCUGGCAUAUAAAAGAGGCUAGGCUUCCAGAGUGUUCCCAUGGUGCACUGGAAUCAUGGGAUCCGUGGAAAUAAACCCUGAGGCGGCCCUGGAAGGCUGGGUAGGGUGAGCGUGGGCCUGCACAAGUAUGUGUGCAAAGGUGGGAGUCAGGAAGGGGCUGGAGGAGCCCAGCCCGGCUGGAGCCGGGCGAUUGAAGGGGCAGGGCGCCAAGCACAGUGGGUACCUUCGUGGUAGGUCCUCUGCACAUGUUUGUCUUUUAUUCUGAGUGCAAGAGGGGACGCCUCAGAGACUUUUUAAGCAAGGGAGUGACAGCAUCCCCCCUUCUGGCUGGGGGGAGCCACAUGGACUGAGGGGUCUGAGGGAGGCAGGGGGCUGUCGGCAGACGUGAGCGUGGGUUCGAUCAAGGCAGGGGGAGUGGACACAUUGAUUCCGAAUAGGGGCUCAGACAUUGUGGACGUGCGACCAACAGGCCGGGCCAAUGGGCUGAUCUUGUCAUUAGCUUCCAAGUCACCCUAGUCACAGACCCCACUGGGCUGAGAAUCAAUCACCCCGACCCCCAAAGCCACACUGGUUAGGUUCUGCGGAUUGUAAGUCCCUCUUACUGUCUCACCUGCAGCCCUCACUUUGCCUGUAUUUCUUCUCCAUCUGUUCUCAGUAGAAGUGAAGUGUGGCCCAUCACAAGGGAUGCGUUUUGCUUCCACAAGUGCCCUUGAAACCGUCCCGCCCCCAAGCCCUUAUGCUUCAGUGCUUUGCCAGCCCAGGCUGCCCUCUCUCGACACCCUGGUCUCCAGGUCUCCGGCUCCUUUGCUGAAGCCCCUGUCCUUGUCCGCUUGAAACUGGGCCUCCAUCCUGGACUUGGCUGGGGAAGGCCGGGGCAGCUCGGAGCCGCAGGAGAGUUCUCGCUCGGCCUAGAAAGCUUGUCACGGCCGUGCCGCAUCUGGUCUGUUGACAACAGCUGGGGCAGCAUCUCUGGAAAAUGUGGGGCCUGUCGUGGCUUCAGUGAAUGUACUCAUAGAGCCCAGGGACCCCUGCCCAGCCUGGAGGAUGCAGGGGAAGGGGCCGGUGGACAGAAACCCAGAAGGAUUUCAGCAUCCCAGGCUUACUCCUGCUUCCUUAGUGGGGAUGUCAGGUAACGCCGCCUCCUGGGAAGGAGCGCCAAGCCCCGGGAGGGCUGGAGACGGGGAAGCAGCGAGAGGUGUCGCUGAGAUGGACGUGUGAUUCAUUCCCAGCCGGCCCCGAGCUGACGACAUGUGUGCUGCCUGCCGGCGCUUUAUCCAGUCCAGGCUGCUGGCUUCCUUGGGGACCCGCGCAGGGUGAAACGAAGCCCAUUUUGCCUCUUGUACCGCAGUCCUCCGUGGUCCCGAGCACGGCGUCGAUGCAGACCCCCACCCCUGUUGACCGGAGCCCUUUAAAAGUAUCACAUUUUUUGGAGUUCCCGUCAUGGCGCAGUGGUUAACGACUCUGACUAGGAACCAUGAGGCUGUGGGUUCGAUCCCUGGCCUUGCUCAGUGGGUUAAUGAUCCGGAGUUGCCGGGAGCUGUGGUGUAGGUCACAGAGGCGGCUCAGAUCCUGCGUUGCUGUGGCUGUGGUGUAGGCUGGCGGCCACAGCUCCAGUUCGACCCCUAGCCUGGCAACCUCCGUAUGCCGCGGGAGCAGCCCUAGAAA